This 496-nucleotide ribosomal RNA is filed under the name uncultured bacterium. RNAcentral's name for it is "partial 16S ribosomal RNA". It matches the Rfam family "Bacterial small subunit ribosomal RNA", at positions 29 to 507 of the family's 1533-position model. The record is from RNAcentral.
AUGAACGCUGGCGGCGUGCCUAAUACAUGCAAGUCGAGCGCACAGAUAAGGAGCUUGCUCCUUUGACGUUAGCGGCGGACGGGUGAGUAACACGUGGGUAACCUACCUAUAAGACUGGGAUAACUUCGGGAAACCGGAGCUAAUACCGGAUAAUAUUUCGAACCGCAUGGUUCGAUAGUGAAAGAUGGUUUUGCUAUCACUUAUAGAUGGACCCGCGCCGUAUUAGCUGGUUGGUAAGGUAACGGCUUACCAAGGCGACGAUACGUAGCCGACCUGAGAGGGUGAUCGGCCACACUGGAACUGAGACACGGUCCAGACUCCUACGGGAGGCAGCAGUAGGGAAUCUUCCGCAAUGGGCGAAAGCCUGACGGAGCAACGCCGCGUGAGUGAUGAAGGUCUUCGGAUCGUAAAACUCUGUUAUUAGGGAAGAACAUACGUGUAAGUAACUGUGCACGUCUUGACGGUACCUAAUCAGAAAGCCACGGCUAACUACGUG